UCUAGGGAGCCACCGUUGUGGCCCUCGACGUUGUGUUGGGGGUUUGUGUUUGUGGUGGUUUUUAGUGGGACUGCAUAUUGGGCUGGCAUGCUGUUGGGGUGUGGGGUAACACCUGUUUCUGCCCGUGUUCGUACUGCCUGUUUGUGGUGGUGUGGGUGUGGUGUUGGUGUGGUGGUUGAGAAUUGUAUAGUGGAUGCGAGCAUCUUUUGGUUUUUGUAAGUGUUUUAUGGGCGUUCGGUGGAUGCCUUGGCACGUGGGGCCGAUGAAGGACGUUGUAGCCUGCGAUAUUCCUCGGGGAGUUGGCAUACGAGCUGUGAUCCGAGGGUUUCCGAAUGGGGGAACCUGGCCGGAGUUGUUUCUGGUUACCAUCAUCUGAAUGUAUAGGGUGGUGGGGGACGA
Molecule: unclassified non-coding RNA, 399 nt
Filed under: Trueperella bialowiezensis
Lineage: Bacteria; Bacillati; Actinomycetota; Actinomycetes; Actinomycetales; Actinomycetaceae
Description: partial 16S-23S ribosomal RNA intergenic spacer
Rfam family: Bacterial large subunit ribosomal RNA (bases 215-399)
Source: RNAcentral